Molecule: ribosomal RNA, 156 nt
Filed under: uncultured bacterium
Lineage: Bacteria
Description: partial 16S ribosomal RNA
Rfam family: Bacterial small subunit ribosomal RNA
Source: RNAcentral
AUGGACGAAAGUCUGAACCAGCCAUGCCGCGUGGAGGAUGAAGGUCCUCUGGAUUGUAAACUUCUUUUAUAUGGGACGAAAAAAGGGCUUUCUAGCUCGUCUGACGGUACCAUAUGAAUAAGCACCGGCUAACUCCGUGCCAGCAGCCGCGGUAAU